GCCUGUUGAGCUGUGGGUCGGUCCUGGUGCUGCUCUCUUCCAUCUACUCUUCCCACCCUGACAGCUCUCUCAGAAGGCUGAGGAAUGUUCAAUUCAGACAAUAUUCAAUCCUGCUGAGUCUAUUGAGAUUCUACUGAGUUUCCAAAUAGAGUCAUUCCGACUUCAGGACUUCAGAACUCUGAGUACAAGGUUUCCAAAUGUUGCUGAGCAGAACUAAUAAUGAGAUCAGCAAAUAUAUACAUCAAUGGAACCUCCACCAGGUUCCAGAUGCUACCAUGAUGCCAACCAGACUUCCCUGGGCAGAGAACCCCACCAAUGUGUCCUGGAGCCCUGCUUCCCCAGAUCCCUGCCCCACUAGGGAAAGAGAGACAGCCUGGGAGUAUGGAUUGACCUGCCAAUGCCCAUGUUCAGGGGGGAAGCAAUUACAGAAGCCAGACCUUCCACCUUCUGUACCCCAUAAUGACCCUGGGUCCAUACUCCCAGAGGGAUAAAGAAUAGGGAAGCUAUCAGGGGAGGGGAGGGGAUACGAAGUUCUGGUGGUGGGAAUUGUGUGGAGUUGUAUCCCUCUUAUCCUAUGUUUUAUGUCAGUGUUUCCUUUUUAUAAAUAAAAACUAAAAAAUAAAAUAAAAUAAAAUAAAAUAAAAAAGCAAAAAAAAAAUCUUGUCCAGUUCUGACUUUUUGUGAUGAGUUUUUGCUCUAAUAUUAUAAUAGAGUUCUUGGAUUUAUAAAUAGUAUUAUUUUCUUUCUUU
Molecule: long non-coding RNA, 749 nt
Organism: Erinaceus europaeus (western European hedgehog)
Lineage: Eukaryota; Metazoa; Chordata; Mammalia; Eulipotyphla; Erinaceidae
Exons: 3
Source: RefSeq, a predicted model, not a curated record